AACGAACGCUGGCGGCAUGCCUAACACAUGCAAGUCGAACGAGACCUUCGGGUCUAGUGGCGCACGGGUGCGUAACGCGUGGGAACCUGCCCUUAGGUUCGGAAUAACUCCCCGAAAGGGGUGCUAAUACCGGAUAAUGUCUUCGGACCAAAGAUUUAUCGCCUUUGGAUGGGCCCGCGUUGGAUUAGCUAGUUGGUAGGGUAAAAGCCUACCAAGGCGACGAUCCAUAGCUGGUCUGAGAGGAUGAUCAGCCAGACUGGGACUGGGACAAGGCCCAGACUCCAACGGGAGGCAGCAAUGGGGAAUAUUGGACAAUGAGCGAAAGCCUGAUCCAGCAAGGCCGCGUUAGUGAUGAAGGCCUUAGGGUUGUAAAGCUCUUUUACCCGGGAUGAUAAUGACAGAACCGGGAGAAUAAGCCCCGGCAAACUCCUU
This 432-nucleotide ribosomal RNA is filed under the name uncultured bacterium. RNAcentral's name for it is "partial 16S ribosomal RNA". It matches the Rfam family "Bacterial small subunit ribosomal RNA", at positions 29 to 506 of the family's 1533-position model. The record is from RNAcentral.